Molecule: ribosomal RNA, 639 nt
Filed under: uncultured Bacteroidales bacterium
Lineage: Bacteria; Pseudomonadati; Bacteroidota; Bacteroidia; Bacteroidales
Description: bacterial SSU rRNA
Rfam family: Bacterial small subunit ribosomal RNA
Source: RNAcentral
UAGCUUGCUAAGGCUGAUGGCGACCGGCGCACGGGUGAGUAACACGUAUCCAACCUGCCGUCUACUCUUGGCCAGCCUUCUGAAAGGAAGAUUAAUCCAGGAUGGGAUCAUGAGUUCACAUGUCCGCAUGAUUAAAGGUAUUUUCCGGUAGACGAUGGAGAUGCGUUCCAUUAGAUAGUAGGCGGGGUAACGGCCCACCUAGUCAACGAUGGAUAGGGGUUCUGAGAGGAAGGUCCCCCACAUUGGAACUGAGACACGGUCCAAACUCCUACGGGAGGCAGCAGUGAGGAAUAUUGGUCAAUGGGCGAUGGCCUGAACCAGCCAAGUAGCGUGAAGGAUGACUGCCCUAUGGGUUGUAAACUUCUUUUAUAAAGGAAUAAAGUCGGGUAUGCAUACCCGUUUGCAUGUACUUUAUGAAUAAGGAUCGGCUAACUCCGUGCCAGCAGCCGCGGUAAUACGGAGGAUCCGAGCGUUAUCCGGAUUUAUUGGGUUUAAAGGGAGCGUAGAUGGAUGUUUAAGUCAGUUGUGAAAGUUUGCGGCUCAACCGUAAAAUUGCAGUUGAUACUGGAUGUCUUGAGUGCAGUUGAGGCAGGCGGAAUUCGUGGUGUAGCGGUGAAAUGCUUAGAUAUCACGAAGAAC